RNAcentral lists this ribosomal RNA (465 nucleotides) under uncultured bacterium. RNAcentral describes it as "partial 16S ribosomal RNA". It matches the Rfam family "Bacterial small subunit ribosomal RNA", at positions 338 to 795 of the family's 1533-position model. The record is from RNAcentral.
CCUACGUGAGGCAGCAGUGGGGAAUAUUGCGCAAUGGGCGAAAGCCUGACGCAGCGACGCCGCGUGAGGGAUGAAGGUCUUCGGAUCGUAAACCUCUGUCAGCAGGGAAGAACGGUCACUGUGCUAAUCAGCAGUGAAUUGACGGUACCUGCAAAGGAAGCACCGGCUAACUCCGUGCCAGCAGCCGCGGUAAUACGGAGGGUGCGAGCGUUAAUCGGAAUUACUGGGCGUAAAGCGCUCGUAGGCGGUAUGGCAAGUCAAGGGUGAAAUCCCCGCGCUAAACGUGGGAACUGCCUUUGAAACUGGCAAACUGGAGUGUGUGAGAGGAUAGUGGAAUUCCAGGUGUAGGAGUGAAAUCCGUAGAUAUCUGGAGGAACAUCAGUGGCGAAGGCGACUAUCUGGCACAUAACUGACGCUGAGGAGCGAAAGCGUGGGUAGCAAACAGGAUUAGAUACCCUGGUAGUC